GAUGAACGCUGGCGGCGUGCUUAACACAUGCAAGUCGAGCGGAGAUUAUAAUUAGUUUACUAAAUAUAAUCUUAGCGGCGGACGGGUGAGUAACGCGUGGAAAACCUGCCCUAUGCAGGGGGAUAACAUGAAGAAAUUCAUGCUAAUACCGCAUAAGCGCACAGUAUCACAUGAUACAGUGUGAAAAACUCCGGUGGCAUAGGAUGGUUCCGCGUCUGAUUAGCUAGUUGGUGAGGUAAUGGCUUACCAAGGCGACGAUCAGUAGCCGGCCUGAGAGGGUGAACGGCCACAUUGGAACUGAGACACGGUCCAAACUCCUACGGGAGGCAGCAGUGGGGAAUAUUGCACAAUGGGGGAAACCCUGAUGCAGCGACGCCGCGUGAAGGAUGAAGGUUUUCGGAUCGUAAACUUCUAUCAGUAGGGAAGAUAGUGACAGUACCUAACUAAGAAGCCCCGGCUAACUACGUG
Molecule: ribosomal RNA, 468 nt
Filed under: uncultured bacterium
Lineage: Bacteria
Description: bacterial SSU rRNA
Rfam family: Bacterial small subunit ribosomal RNA
Source: RNAcentral